This 305-nucleotide ribosomal RNA is filed under the name uncultured bacterium. Its description in RNAcentral is "bacterial SSU rRNA". It matches the Rfam family "Bacterial small subunit ribosomal RNA", at positions 337 to 658 of the family's 1533-position model. The record is from RNAcentral.
ACCUACGGGGGGCAGCAGUGGGGAAUAUUGCACAAUGGGGGAAACCCUGAUGCAGCAACGCCACGUGAAGGAAGACGGUUUUCGGAUUGUAAACUUCUGUUCUUAGUGAAGAAAAAUGACGGUAGCUAAGGAGCAAGCCACGGCUAACUACGUGCCAGCAGCCGCGGUAAUACGUAGGGGGCAAGCGUUAUCCGGAUUUACUGGGUGUGAAGGGAGCGUAGACGGCCAGACAAGUCUGGAGUGAAAAUCCAGCGCUUAACGUUGGAAGUGCUUUGGAAACUGCCGGGCUAGAGUGCAGGAGGGGG